GAGAAAAUGGCAAAAUCUGUUAGAUUAGUCUCUCCGAAUUCUCCGAAAAUAAAAAUAGAACUGUAUCUUUGAAUAGCCGAAUAGGGAAGCGUGCCAGGGCUAUCUCAAUCUUCCCAUACUUAUCGAUCACGUCACCAUCUAUCUCCUUUGUCCGAUACGAAGCCGAACCUCCCUUCUUUAAAAUCCACACCUUGUCCGAAUCUCUCUCCAACCGCAAAAAAAGAAAAAAAAAAUGGCGACAACCCAGCUAAAAUCCGAUGCGAUCAUGGAUUUGAUGAAGCAGCAUCUCUCCACCGACGCCGGUAAAGAGCUCACAGAG
Molecule: long non-coding RNA, 319 nt
Filed under: Brassica napus (rape)
Lineage: Eukaryota; Viridiplantae; Streptophyta; Magnoliopsida; Brassicales; Brassicaceae
Description: long non-coding RNA (BNAP_LNC025159)
Source: RNAcentral